This 259-nucleotide long non-coding RNA is filed under the name Manihot esculenta (cassava). Its description in RNAcentral is "long non-coding RNA (MESC_LNC010968)". The record is from RNAcentral. Lineage: Eukaryota; Viridiplantae; Streptophyta; Magnoliopsida; Malpighiales; Euphorbiaceae.
CCAGUGAGCAGAAUAAUAAGACAUAAUUUAACAUUUAUGCUUUCAUGAAUGCGUCAUAUCACAAACAUUCCACAACAAGGAUGAAUUUGUCACCAAUUAGCCCCUAUCUUUCUUACUUAUACAUGCCGGGGGCGUAGAGCCGUAGCAGGCACACCCGGACUUCCAUAAUCUGUCAUAGUGCCAGGGGCGUAGAGCCGUAGCAGGCACACCUGGACUCACAUAGGCUAUCAUGACAUACAAGGGCUAAUGGAUCAUUCAA